Equus caballus (horse) is the source of this 699-nucleotide long non-coding RNA. RefSeq lists it as uncharacterized. NCBI's taxonomy places the organism in Eukaryota, Metazoa, Chordata, Mammalia, Perissodactyla, Equidae. The record is from RefSeq and is a predicted model, not a curated record.
AUAACUAUUUACUAAAUGACUGGGUGAAUUUCUAUCCCCACAGAUGGGCCCAUGAGGAGCUGUCCCGCAAACAGGAGACCCUCAGAAGUGGAAGUGCCUUGCAAGUCCUUAAAGGGCAGAGAGCUUAACAAACAUUUAACUUAAUGAGUGAGGAUCUCCAUUGCAAUCCUGAUCAGUGGCGGAUGUGGCAGGCGCUCUGGUCUUAAAACCAACGUGACUGGCAGUUCUAAUAUUUCACCAAAGAUGAUGAAUUAGAUAAGUCUUAUCAGGUCAGGGAAGUUUCUUUUUAUUCCUAUUUGUUAAGAGUUGGGGUUUUUUUCCAGUCAUAAAUAGGUAUUUAAUGUUAUUAAGCCCAUUCAGUAAAUUUUUUAUUUCAGUUAUUGUACAUUGUACAUUUAUUUGAUAAUAACGGCUAUUGACAAUAUUUCAUAAAAUUAUUUCCCUGUACGUGUAAUGUUUUAGAUCAUGACAUUUUAAAGUUUUUAACAUUUGAUAAACAUUUGUCAAAGCAUUUACAUUUUAGUUUGUCAUCAUUUGGUUGAUGUGGUCCUCAGUUUCCAAGACUCAUUCUGGCGGAAGCCAACUGCCGUGUCACGAGGACACGCAAGCAGCUCUCUGCAGAGGCCCAUGUGAAGAGGAACUGAGGCCUCUUGCCAACCAUGUGAAUGAGUGUUACAGGCUGAAUUGUGUCUCCCCCCC